GCUGAGGUGUCGUUUGGUUGAGUAUAAUUAUAUAAUGUAGGUAAAUAUAUAAAUAUAACUAAAAGAAUUAUGCGCUUAUAUUUUUAAAAGUACUAAAUUAUUGAUGUUUGUAGGUUUUGAUCCUUAAAUUAAAAAAUAUGCAGUUAGGAUGAUAGUGAUUCUUUAGAAUUGAAUGAAUAGUUAGUUAAAUGGUAUGAUCUAAAAGAUGAAAAUGAUUAAAAGGAUUAGAUCUAAUGACAGAAAACUUACAAUCACAUAAUGCUUAGUGCUUUUAGAAGUAGCAUAGUCGGACUCCAAUAUGACAGUAUAGUUAUACGCAUUUUAUUUACUUAGAUAUAAUAAAAAGUAGUGUAAGUAUAAAUAGACUGAGGUAACCAAAGAAAGACUUUUACGACCUUUCCUUUGUCUUGUUGGCUCCACUUUUGGGGUCAACUUUGACCACAAAGUAGGGCCAACAAGCAAAAUAAUUUAUUUGCUAUUUUUUAUAAGUAUAAAUUUAUUUUUUUAUUUAUGAAUAGUAAUUGUUUUGAGUUGUUCCAAUAUAUAAAAAUAUAUUUUGUGUAUUAAUUAUUUUUAGUUAGUUAUAUUUGGUUAUUAUUAUUAUUUGUUAAAAAUAAUUGAUUAUUUAUUUUUUUCUAUUUUUGUUGGCUAUUGACAUUUGAUUAUUUUUAAAUGGUUUGUAAAAAA
RNAcentral lists this long non-coding RNA (687 nucleotides) under Ananas comosus (pineapple). Its description in RNAcentral is "long non-coding RNA (ACOM_LNC041509)". Lineage: Eukaryota; Viridiplantae; Streptophyta; Magnoliopsida; Poales; Bromeliaceae. The record is from RNAcentral.